This 496-nucleotide long non-coding RNA is filed under the name Struthio camelus australis. RNAcentral describes it as "lncRNA (ENSSCUG00000014284.1)". Lineage: Eukaryota; Metazoa; Chordata; Aves; Struthioniformes; Struthionidae. The record is from RNAcentral.
CCCGCCGGUUUCGCCUCAAGGCCGUGCAAACCAGCAAAGCCUGCAAUGUGCCUUCCCUCUACACCUGCGUGGUGCCCGUGGAUGGCACCACCCAGGCAGCCCUGCCCGCCGCCGUGGAGGUGUGCAGCGCAGCCAGCUCUGCCAGCCACCAGCGAGCGGCUCCAGCAGAGAGCUGUUGCCACAGGAGUUACUCGGCAGGUUUGGCCCGGCAGCAGGACGCGGAGCAGGACGAGGCGCUCAUCGCUGCAGAGCGAGAUGAGAUCCCUGCGUCUCCAGCUAGUGUAUCCUCUGCGACCUCUGGCUGGGAAAAGCAGAACAGCCCUAAUGGGCGGCCAUCUAGCCCCUCCAUCGCCUCCAUGGGCUCCCAGAAAUCCACGGAGAGCAUUGCUGGCUCCAGGUUUAGCCUGAGCAGACGCAGGGGGCCCAGCCUGGCACUGCGCCCACACUGCCUCAGCCCGGAAAGUGAGCACGCCAGCAGCAACGCCAGCCACGAAUA